UACGUAGGGUGCAAGCGUUAAUCGGAAUUACUGGGCGUAAAGCGUGCGCCGGCGGUUAUGUAAGACAGUUGUGAAAUCCCCGGGCUCAACCUGGGAAUUGCAUCUGUGACUGCAUAGCUAGAGUACGGUAGAGGGGGAUGGAAUUCCGCGUGUAGCAGUGAAAUGCGUAGAUAUGCGGAGGAACACCGAUGGCGAAGGCAAUCCCCUGGACCUGUACUGACGCUCAUGCACGAAAGCGUGGGGAGCAAACAGG
This 253-nucleotide ribosomal RNA is filed under the name uncultured bacterium. RNAcentral describes it as "partial 16S ribosomal RNA". It matches the Rfam family "Bacterial small subunit ribosomal RNA", at positions 524 to 776 of the family's 1533-position model. The record is from RNAcentral.